Dipodomys ordii (Ord's kangaroo rat) is the source of this 99-nucleotide small nuclear RNA. The record is from Ensembl. NCBI's taxonomy places the organism in Eukaryota, Metazoa, Chordata, Mammalia, Rodentia, Heteromyidae.
UUCUAGCAGUUUACUGGAGAUAGUGCUAGCUUCAGCUACAGAGAAGAUUAACAUGGCCCCUGCGCAAGGAUGACACGAAAGUUUGUGAAGCAGUUUGCU